This 78-nucleotide non-coding RNA is filed under the name Verrucomicrobiota bacterium. RNAcentral describes it as "Verrucomicrobia bacterium Fluoride sequence". It matches the Rfam family "Fluoride riboswitch aptamer (crcB RNA motif)". Lineage: Bacteria; Pseudomonadati; Verrucomicrobiota. The record is from RNAcentral.
GUUUGGCCCGGCGAUGGAUUCCGCCUCCCCGCGAGGGAAAACCGCCGCGCUUGCGUGGCUAAUGACUCCUGUUGAUCC